AAUUUCGUUAUCGUUCCAACUAAUAUCAAAGUAAUAACUAACUAGAAAUUUCAUAUAUAGAACCUAACAACUGUUGUUUGAAAGAGUUAUUUUUAGAAGUACAACAAAACGAAACCAUUAACCAU
RNAcentral lists this small RNA (125 nucleotides) under Arabidopsis thaliana (thale cress). Its description in RNAcentral is "ATSL170300". Lineage: Eukaryota; Viridiplantae; Streptophyta; Magnoliopsida; Brassicales; Brassicaceae. The record is from RNAcentral.